This 398-nucleotide ribosomal RNA is filed under the name uncultured bacterium. RNAcentral describes it as "bacterial SSU rRNA". It matches the Rfam family "Bacterial small subunit ribosomal RNA", at positions 362 to 776 of the family's 1533-position model. The record is from RNAcentral.
UAUUGCACAAUGGGGGAAACCCUGAUGCAGCGACGCCGCGUGGGCGAAGAAGUAUUUCGGUAUGUAAAGCCCUAUCAGCAGGGAAGAACAAUGACGGUACCUGACUAAGAAGCACCGGCUAAAUACGUGCCAGCAGCCGCGGUAAUACGUCUGGUGCAAGCGUUAUCCAGAUUUACUGGGUGUAAAGGGAGCGCAGGUGGCGCGUUAAGCCUGGUGUGAAAGCCCGCGGCCCAACCGCGGGACUGCAUUGGGAACUGGCGCGCUGGAGUGCCGGAGGGGUAGGCGGAAUUCCUAGUGUAGCGGUGAAAUGCGUAGAUAUUAGGAGGAACACCAGUGGCGAAGGCGGCCUACUGGACGGUGACUGACGCUGAGGCUCGAAAGCGUGGGGAGCAAACAGG